GUCUCUUUGUAUAUUAUAAAUAAAGAGUCGGGCCUGCUCGGUGAACAUAUUGUUUUAACAGCUGCGGUAUUUUAACUGUACUAAGGUAGCAUAAUAAUUUGCCUUAUAAUUUGAGGCUAGAAUGAAUGGUUUGACGAAGGUUAAACUGUCUCUAUUUUAUUUUUUAGAAUUUAAUUUACAAAGUGAAAAAGCUUGUAUGUCUUAAAGGGACGAGAAGACCCUAAUGAGCUUUAAUUUUAUUAGUUUUCUUUAUUAUAAUGAAGAGAUGAUUAUAUAAAUUUUAAUUGGGGUGAUUAAGGAAUAAUAUGUUAUAGGUUAGUAACUUCCUUAAAUUAAAUAUUGUUAGAUAAAUUAACCAAUGAUAUUGCUUAUAAUAGAGUUACCAUAGGGAUAACAGCGUAAUUUAUUUUGAGAGUUCUUAUUGAAAAAUGAGAUUGCGACCUCGAUGUUGGAUUAAAGUAACCUUAAGGUGCAGAAGCUUUAAAAGGUAAAUCUGUUCGAUUUUUAAAACUUUACA
This 517-nucleotide ribosomal RNA is filed under the name Enoploteuthis leptura. RNAcentral's name for it is "partial small subunit ribosomal RNA". It matches the Rfam family "Bacterial large subunit ribosomal RNA", at positions 1819 to 2600 of the family's 2925-position model. The record is from RNAcentral. Lineage: Eukaryota; Metazoa; Mollusca; Cephalopoda; Oegopsida; Enoploteuthidae.